GCCACCACCGUAAAGCAAGCUUUCGGAGGGUGGUAAUAUUAGUGGGUGGUGGUAGUAGUGGUGGUAGAGAUGGUAGAGAUGGUAGAGGGUUGAAGGGUGGUGGUGUCGGUGGAAAGCGGGAAAGCUUCGACGACUAUUCACGACCACCCACAGUUCAUUCCGGCCGUGUUAGUUGUGUGAGCAACAUCAUCACAUCAAUCGUGUAUAUUAAAUUAAACAUUUGAACAAAAAAAUAUGUAAUUAAAUAAAAUCCCAUAUAGGAUAAAAGAACAAAACGAAUCUUUCAUUAUGAGUGAUAUUCAUGCGACAAAAUAUUCCUAUCAUCGAUAAAAUUAAAAAACAAAAAAAACAAAAUAAAAAUCAAACAAAACAAGCAACGAAACCAAACAAAAAUCAUCGUGGUAUGAGAUCGUGCGUACAUUCGUUCAAGAUGAAAUAUAAACAAAAAAUAUUAUUAUUAAUUAAUAUUAUUAAUUAUAUGUGUGUCAUCGAUACGAUAGUACGUGUAAAUGACAAAUGACGUCUUUUUAUUCGUUGAUAAAAAAAAAAUUCAAAGUCAGUUACGAAGAAAACGAAGACGAAACUCUUACUCGUCAAAGUGGUGUUGUUGCUGCUGCAGCUGGUGGUGGUGGUGGUGGUGGUGGUGGUUCUGGUGGUUCUGGUGGUGGUGCCCGGAUAUCGGUCGAAGAAAUUUCUUCGUUCGGUGCCGGUCGUUGAUCUUCUACCCCUUUUCCACCACCUCCUCUUCUCUCUUUAAGGUACCACCAACCAACGAAUCUCGUCGUCUCGGACGCGCGCGCGCGAGCAUCGACCGAUCCUUUCUCCUCCUACUAUCUCUCUCUCUCUCUCUCUCUCUCUCUCUCUCUCAUUCUCUCUCAUUCUUUCAUUCUCUAUUUCUCUCUAUUUCGUUUCUUUGUUUCUUUUUAUUUUCCCGCGAAUCGUUCGAUCAGAUGGAUCGGUUAAGAUGGUGUUAAUGGUGUUGCUAGUGGUGAUGAUUGUGAAGAUGAUGAUGAUGGUGGUUGACGACGAUUAGAAAGAUAGAUGCCAUUGAAGUUAAAUUUACGAUGUAAUCUUACGUUUUAAUCCCGUUCGUUACGGACUCCCUCGUGUUCCUCGUGUUGCGAACGACAGUGACGAACGAAAGAAAGAAAGAAAAAGAGAGAAAGAGAGAGAAAGAGAGAAAGAGAGAGAGAGAGAGAGAGAAAUAGAAAAGGGGGAGAGAAAAAAAGGUGGAAAAUACGACUCGGUUUAAUGGUUCGUUAGCUAGGGAAAUAAUGUAAAAGGUGGACUUCGAAUGCAAAACGUCGAACAGCUGAUAUUGCUGCAACCCCCAACUACCCCCACUCCUCAUCGUUCUAGAGGGCAAAUGACAAGAUUAACGUGAGGAACGAACGUACCAACGGAAAACACAACUUUCAAAUAAAUUGAAUUUAAUCGAAUAACAAAGAAGACAAAUUAAAUAAGUGAAGAAGGAUGAAGGUUAAUAAUAAAAUAAUAGAAAAAUAUAAUCGUAGAAGAAUUAAUGGAAAAUCAUGUGGACGAAUUUUAAUCAUCGAAAUGGAUGAUGAACCAUACAAGUUCAAAUUAUCCCAAUCAUGUAACUUAAUCGGUGUUAAUAAAGAGACAAGUGAUACGAUAUUAUAUUUUCCUCUUACGAACUGAGUGAAAAUCAAAUGAACAACAAAAUACCUUGAAAUAGGAUACUCAACGAAUGAACGAAUGAAUGAAUGGCUUGAAGAAAUACAUUUCAAAAUAUCAUUUCCAUGGACACCGAAUCGAAGGAUGUAGAAAUGUCAAAAGAAACGGAAGGAUCGAUCAUCAGAGAACAAUAAAAACCUCAUUGGCUAUAUAUUAAUAAAAAAAAAAAGAACAAAAUGGAAUUGAACGAUACGAUGGAAGAGGAUACUGUAAAUAUAACCGAUUUACCGGAUCGAUUAUCAAACAUUUUGAUUGACAUUGUUCAUAGAAAUGAAAAUGAGACUUACGAACGUGGGAAAAAUACUUACGAGGUUGAACACGUGUUAGUAUUGACAGCUAAAGCAACAGUGAUGGGUUUUAUCAUACUUUGUGCAUUAUUUGGCAAUCUUCUCGUAAUAGUGUCAGUAAUGAGGCAUCGUAAAUUACGAGUAAUAACAAAUUAUUUCGUAGUAUCGUUAGCAUUGGCUGAUAUGCUUGUUGCAAUAUUUGCGAUGACAUUUAACGCAUCAGUAGAAUUGUCGGGCAAAUGGUUGUUCGGAUAUUUCAUGUGCGACGUAUGGAAUUCUCUCGACGUAUUUUUCAGUACCGUAUCAAUUCUUCAUCUUUGUUGCAUCAGCGUGGAUCGUUAUUAUGCAAUAGUACAACCAUUGGAUUAUCCAUUGAUCAUGACGAAUCUACGACUUGGUGCAAUGUUAAGCGUAGUUUGGUGUUCACCAACGGUCAUGAGUUUUCUUCCAAUAUUUGCUGGUUGGUAUACUACCAAGGAACAUCUUGAAUACAGACAAAAUUAUCCCGAUGUGUGUGUAUUUCAAGUGAACAAAUUAUACGCGGUUAUAAGCUCAAGUGUAAGCUUUUGGGUACCUGGCAUUAUUAUGAUCGCAAUGUAUUACAAGAUUUAUCGUGAAGCUGAUCGUCAAGAACGUAUGUUGUAUAGAAGCAAAGUCGCUGCUGCACUAUUAAAUAAACACAUGCGAUUUAAUGGUAUUUCCGCGGGUAUAACAUCAUUACCCACGGUAGAUCAAUCGUCGCAUGAUCUUCAACCGGAAGAACCACCUAUCACCAGCAGCAGUAAAAUGAAACGUGAGAGGAAGGCUGCCAGAACACUCGGGAUCAUCAUGUCAGCAUUUUUAGCUUGCUGGCUUCCUUUUUUUCUCUGGUACGUCAUAACGUCUCUCUGCGAUGCCUGUGAAUGCGGUGACAUUGUAGUUGCAGUAGUCUUUUGGGUUGGCUACUUCAACAGCGCAUUGAAUCCAUUGAUUUAUGCAUACUUCAAUCGUGAUUUCCGUGCUGCAUUUAGAAAAACAUUAGAGAGUUGUUGUGCAGCAAUAGGACCUGUACGAGAUCUUGGACAAAUUCAUAAAAAACAAGAUUUGGUACACAGUAAUGCGUCAUCGGAACUUCACGUUAAUAAUCAGUUGAGAACCAGUGAGAUGACGAACGUGCAUAUCGAAGCAUGCAUUUAAAAUCGAUCCUUUCUUUCAAAUAAUAUGAAUAAGAAAUAAAAGAAGAUGAGGAAAAUCAAAGGACACCCGAUAGAGAAACAUUCAUAAUAAAUAUGAAAUAAUGCAACAUGUGGAAUUUGAAGAUACAAUUUCGUUCGUGGCAAGUUUGGGGGUCAGAAGUUUUGGUCGAAUUUGAAAGAAAUGUUUGACUACGAAGUCAUCAUGGCGCAGAAGCUAUAAAAUAAAUUACAUUAGAAAGAAAUUCUAAAAUCAAAACAUUAUAAUACAAGGUUUUACACCUGUCCAACUUUUAAAAAAAUCAUAUAAACAACAUUGAAUAAAAGUAUUUUUAAGAUUGAUUGUUUGAAAUAUGCUGACAUUUCGUAAAUAGUUUAUACAGUAAAAACGUUUAAUCUUAAUUACUUGAUCUCGCAUGCUAUGCCCUUUGGCAUACUGUAUUAUAUUUAGUUAAACAACUCAACACACAUAUUGACUUACUUGCAUAUAGCUAUGGUUGUGUUGUAAUAUAUUUUUUUUUUUACGAAGUAAAAUUAUGUAUUACAA
This is an unclassified non-coding RNA of Polistes dominula (European paper wasp), 3704 nucleotides long. The record is from RefSeq and is a predicted model, not a curated record. Lineage: Eukaryota; Metazoa; Arthropoda; Insecta; Hymenoptera; Vespidae.